UACGUAGGGCGCGAGCGUUGUCCGGAAUUAUUGGGCGUAAAGAGCUCGUAGGUGGUUUGUCGCGUUGUUCGUGAAAACUCACAGCUCAACUGUGGGCGUGCGGGCGAUACGGGCAGACUAGAGUACUGCAGGGGAGACUGGAAUUCCUGGUGUAGCGGUGGAAUGCGCAGAUAUCAGGAGGAACACCGGUGGCGAAGGCGGGUCUCUGGGCAGUAACUGACGCUGAGGAGCGAAAGCGUGGGGAGCGAACAGG
RNAcentral lists this ribosomal RNA (253 nucleotides) under uncultured bacterium. RNAcentral describes it as "partial 16S ribosomal RNA". It matches the Rfam family "Bacterial small subunit ribosomal RNA", at positions 524 to 776 of the family's 1533-position model. The record is from RNAcentral.